This is a non-coding RNA of Aminobacter sp., 72 nucleotides long. The record is from Rfam. Lineage: Bacteria; Pseudomonadati; Pseudomonadota; Alphaproteobacteria; Hyphomicrobiales; Phyllobacteriaceae.
UCCCCGGUAGCUCAGUGGUAGAGCAACCGGCUGUUAACCGGUUGGUCGCUGGUUCGAAUCCGGCCCGGGGAG